This 396-nucleotide ribosomal RNA is filed under the name uncultured bacterium. Its description in RNAcentral is "bacterial SSU rRNA". It matches the Rfam family "Bacterial small subunit ribosomal RNA", at positions 29 to 426 of the family's 1533-position model. The record is from RNAcentral.
AUUGAACGCUGGCGGAAUGCUUUACACAUGCAAGUCGAGCGGCAGCGCGGGGGCAACCCUGGCGGCGAGCGGCGAACGGGUGAGUAACAUAUCGGAACGUACCCCGUCGUGGGGGAUAACACAGCGAAAGCUGUGCUAAUACCGCAUACGACCUGAGGGUGAAAGCGGGGGAUCGCAAGACCUCGCGCGAUGGGAGCGGCCGAUAUCGGAUUAGCUUGUUGGUGAGGUAAAGGCUCACCAAGGCGACGAUCCGUAGCUGGUCUGAGAGGACGACCAGCCACACUGGAACUGAGACACGGUCCAGACUCCUACGGGAGGCAGCAGUGGGGAAUUUUGGACAAUGGGGGGCAACCCUGAUCCAGCCAUUCCGCGUGAGUGAAGAAGGCCUUCGGUUGU